UUACAGUUUUUCUCAGCAUUAUUUAG
This 26-nucleotide non-coding RNA is filed under the name Mus musculus (house mouse). Lineage: Eukaryota; Metazoa; Chordata; Mammalia; Rodentia; Muridae. The record is from RNAcentral.